CGGGUUAAAGCUUUGAUGAAGCGAUUUAGUUACAUUAAGGGGAGUAUUGUUAAUAUAAUCCGA
This 63-nucleotide transfer RNA is filed under the name Trypophloeus asperatus. Its description in RNAcentral is "tRNA-Val". Lineage: Eukaryota; Metazoa; Arthropoda; Insecta; Coleoptera; Curculionidae. The record is from RNAcentral.